UGGUACAGGCAUUCCGAGCAUGGAGCUUACAGGGGGAUGGAAUUAACUGGAAAGUUUAACAAUGGAGGAGGAACCUGAACAGGAGUCUUGAAAGAUCUGCAGACUCUCUCCACCCUCCAAGCUCAUUUUCUAAUCAUUAUUCACAGUAAUGAGUGAGGUGCCUUUGGAGAGCAGAAAGGAAUUCUGCCUGCCUGAUUGUUCAAAGGCAGCCUUACCCGUGCAGCCCCUGUUCCAGACCCAUCAGAAUGACAGCGCACACAAUACUCCCCGUUGCUGAGAUACAGGCACUUUUAUUCCCUUCUCCAAAUAUGGAUCAAGGUCCUGCCAAAAGGGUGGGGAAUCAUGUCAUCUAGAGCUCAAGCAGGAAGCUAUAAUAUCCUUAGUGGGAAGUUUCUGCUACAGUUUGUUCAAUUAUAAUCAGUUAAUAAUAAAAAAGGAUUUUAAUUAAUAGAUUUAUAGGAAGUAGUAGAUGGAAAAUUAUGCAUCAGUGCUGAAAAACUUGCAAGAAUCGACUCUUCUGACAACUAAAACAAUGUCUAAAUGGAUCCACAGACCAGAGAAGAGGGAACCCAGGCUUACAAUUUUCUCUACUCUCCUCGAUGCCAAUUUCAAGGGUGUAUAGGCACCAUGUCAUCUCCUCUAAGGGAUCACUGUCACAGUUCAAUGGCAGUGUCCUCUGUCAAGUUGAUUCACCCUGGGCAAUUCUCCUUCGUCCAGAAAAAUCAAUUUGAAGUCAUUCAUACCACUACCUGACUUUAAUCCAGGAAGUGAAUCUCUCAGGAUAAUCGUCAAAGAUGCUCGCUAUCACUAUGUUGAAAGGAUCGGCACAGGAGUUGAAUGACAAGUAGUGAAGACCAUUUUGUGGAAUCUUUUCCAGAAGCCCUUCUUUUUAACCUACUGAUUUCUCUUGGAAGGUGUUAUGAAGCUGACACAAUCUUCCCUGUUCUUUUCUUAUCCCCUGAAUUGGACUACAGCAGCCUCCAUCCUUACUGACUUUGUGGUUAUGCGUGUCUAUUCAGAGUUGACACCUGCCUGUCAAGCCAGUGGUGAGCUCCUGGGAGGCAUAUACAGGGCUUGGGAAUAAAUUUGUUCUGAAGAAAAUCAUGUUCUUUAUUAACGUCAGUCAGUGGUAACAUCUGAGUGCCACCUCCACUCUGACUCCACAGAGAUCCUUGGGGACAUGUUCUUUAAAAGGCUGGCUGUGGCAGACAUUUUAUUCACCAAGAAAGUAGUAACGAAGGGAGAAAAAGGAGAAAGGAAGAGAGGCAUCAAAGAUGGAGGAGAAAGGGAAGAAUCCUGAUAGUCAUGGUAUGUUUUGGAACUAUUUGGAUUGUGUGUCUGUAUCUAAAGGGAAAAAAUUACAAUGCAGAACUGCACAUGGGAAGCAGACAGGAUUCUUAUAACCUUGAACUAUAAGUCACUUGUGAAGUAAUUUCACAACAUGGUAAUGGAUGAGCUGGAAAAGCAAAGUACAGUGAUGAAACCCAGAAUAUCUUCUCAGGAAGGAGUUAGUCUCCUUGUGUCAGUUUUAUCUGAACUGUAGCCAUCUCAAAGUCAAAACAACUAUGAAAUUCACUCCAACUCCUUACAGUACUUAAUAAAAAAUUGAAGCUGUUUUUAAAAAUGUGGAAC
Molecule: non-coding RNA, 1632 nt
Organism: Peromyscus maniculatus bairdii (prairie deer mouse)
Lineage: Eukaryota; Metazoa; Chordata; Mammalia; Rodentia; Cricetidae
Source: RefSeq, a predicted model, not a curated record